RNAcentral lists this ribosomal RNA (253 nucleotides) under uncultured bacterium. RNAcentral's name for it is "partial 16S ribosomal RNA". It matches the Rfam family "Bacterial small subunit ribosomal RNA", at positions 524 to 776 of the family's 1533-position model. The record is from RNAcentral.
UACGAAGGGUGCGAGCGUUGUUCGGAUUUACUGGGCGUAAAGGGCGCGCAGGCGGCGCAUUUUGUCAGGCGUGAAAGCCCCGGGCUUAACCUGGGAACUGCGUUUGAUACGGAUGGGCUAGAGUUCGGGAGAGGAGAGUGGAAUUCCCAGUGUAGAGGUGAAAUUCGUAGAUAUUGGGAAGAACACCGGUGGCGAAGGCGGCUCUCUGGACCGAGACUGACGCUGAGGCGCGAAAGCGUGGGGAGCAAACAGG